GUCGGCGGGGUAACGGCCCACCGAGGCGACGAUGCGUAGGGGUUCUGAGAGGAAGGUCCCCCACACUGGUACUGAGACACGGACCAGACUCCUACGGGAGGCAGCAGUGAGGAAUAUUGGUCAAUGGCCGGGAGGCUGAACCAGCCAAGUCGCGUGAGGGAAGACGGCCCUACGGGUUGUAAACCUCUUUUGUCAGGGAGCAAGAGGCGGGUCGAGACCUGCUGUGAGAGUACCUGAAGAAAAAGCAUCGGCUAACUCCGUGCCAGCAGCCGCGGUAAUACGGAGGAUGCGAGCGUUAUCCGGAUUUAUUGGGUUUAAAGGGUGCGCAGGCGGAGGCACAAGUCAGCGGUAAAAUCGCGGGGCUCAACCCCGCUCCGCCGUUGAAACUGUGUCCCUUGAGUGCGCGAAGGGUAGGCGGAAUGCGUGGUGUAGCGGUGAAAUGCAUAGAUAUCACGCAGAACUCCGAUCGCGAAGGCAGCCUACCGGCGCGCAACUGACGCUCAUGCACGAAAGCGUGGGUAUCGAACAGGAUUAGAUACCCUGGUAGUCCACGCAGUAAACGAUGAAUGCUAUCUGUCCGGCCGGAAUGACGGCUGGGUGGC
Molecule: ribosomal RNA, 602 nt
Filed under: uncultured bacterium
Lineage: Bacteria
Description: bacterial SSU rRNA
Rfam family: Bacterial small subunit ribosomal RNA
Source: RNAcentral